UUAAGAUAACAAGGCACAAGUGAUCUGUCAUAGUAUAGGGAAACUUCGGUGUAAAUCCGAGGCUGUGCCGCAGCUGUAAAAGAAGUUAUGAGUCAAUUAUCCAACUCAAAACUUUCUCAAGCCAGAAUGCCUAACUGUGACUUGCUCACACU
Molecule: non-coding RNA, 152 nt
Filed under: Gloeocapsa
Lineage: Bacteria; Bacillati; Cyanobacteriota; Cyanophyceae; Chroococcidiopsidales; Chroococcidiopsidaceae
Source: RNAcentral